GCUUACGGCCAUACCAGCCUGGGUACGCCCGAUCUCGUCUGAUCUCGGAAGCUGAAGCAGGGUCGGGCCUGGUUAGUACUUGGAUGGGAGACCGCCUGGGAAUACCAGGUGCUGUAAGGA
This 120-nucleotide ribosomal RNA is filed under the name Salmo salar (Atlantic salmon). The record is from RNAcentral. Lineage: Eukaryota; Metazoa; Chordata; Actinopteri; Salmoniformes; Salmonidae.